AGAACGGCUCCGCCCGGACUCCUACGGGAGCCGGGCUCCUCCAUCAACAGUAGGAUGGCUCCGCCCGGACUCCUACGGGAGCCGGGCUCCUCCAUCAACAGCAGAACGGCUCCGCCCGGACUCCUACGGGAGUCGGGCUCUUCCAUCAACAGUAGGAUGGCUCCGCCCGGACUCUUACGGGAGCCGGGCUCCUCCAUCAACAGCAGAACGGCUCCGCCCGGACUCCUACGAGAGCCGGGCUCCACCAUCGACAGUAGUUGUAGCUUCGUCCGGGCUCCGCUCUCGAUACCAAUUGCUGGAGGAGCUGAACCUUAAGGGAGCUGAGCCUUAAGGGAGCCGAGCCUCAUUUCUGACGCCAACGACUACAGCCGUAGGCAGACUCCUCCCGGACUCCUACAAAGGCCGAGCUCCGACCACUGCCGAGCCUUGAUCAAC
RNAcentral lists this long non-coding RNA (435 nucleotides) under Elaeis guineensis (African oil palm). Its description in RNAcentral is "long non-coding RNA (EGUI_LNC057081)". The record is from RNAcentral. Lineage: Eukaryota; Viridiplantae; Streptophyta; Magnoliopsida; Arecales; Arecaceae.